UGCGGAAGGAUCAUUACUGAGUUAGGGUCUCAUCUCGAGCCCGAACCUCCAACCCUUUGUAUAAAACACUUUGUUGCUUUGGCAGGCCCGUCUGAAAAUCCUUUAACCGGGAUCGACGACCGCCGGGGGCGUUUAGUCACCUCUGGCCAGUGCUUGCCGAUAGCCUAUUCAAAAUUCUUUAUUAAAUCAUGUCUGAAAAAUUAUAACUAAAUAUAAUUAAAACUUUUAACAACGGAUCUCUUGGUUCUGGCAUCGAUGAAGAACGCAGCGAAAUGCGAUAAGUAAUGUGAAUUGCAGAAUUCAGUGAAUCAUCGAAUCUUUGAACGCACAUUGCGCCCUUUGGUAUUCCGAAGGGCAUGCCUGUUCGAGCGUCAUUAUCAACCCUCAAGCUCGGCUUGUUAUUGGGCUCUUAUCGUUACAGAUAGGCCCGAAAGAUAAUGGCGGCGUCAUAAAUGACCCCAGAUGCAGCGAGCUUAUAGCAUACAUCGAAAGGUUUUUAUGGCCCGGCCUUAACGAGAAGCAAUUCUCAAUUUAUUUAAAGGUUGACCUCGGAUCAGGUAGGAAUACCCGCUGAACUUAA
This 580-nucleotide ribosomal RNA is filed under the name Eurotiomycetes sp. Its description in RNAcentral is "eukaryotic LSU rRNA". The stretch from base 221 to 374 matches the Rfam family "5.8S ribosomal RNA". Lineage: Eukaryota; Fungi; Ascomycota; Eurotiomycetes. The record is from RNAcentral.